This is a long non-coding RNA of Homo sapiens (human), 1685 nucleotides long. Ensembl annotates it as long intergenic non-protein coding RNA 635. The record is from Ensembl. NCBI's taxonomy places the organism in Eukaryota, Metazoa, Chordata, Mammalia, Primates, Hominidae.
UGUGUGGUCUCUUCAGCAUAGCAACAGCAGCGUAGCUGAACAUCUUACGGAUGGCCCAGGGCUCCAAAGGCUCGUUUCCUAAGUGAGAGAGAGCCUGGCUGAAGCUGUAUUACCAUUCAUUCUCCAGCCUCCGAAGUCUCAAAGCAUCACUUCCACCAUACUCUAACUGUCAAGACAAACACAAAGGCCCAGAAACUGCCAGACUGUCUUCUGAAGUGGCUAUAAUAUUUACACUCCCAUCAGCAGUGUAGAAGGGGUCUCACUAUGUUGUCUGGAGUGCUGUGGUGGAGUGGAGUGGCUAUUCACAGAGCCUGUUCUGCUGGGACACAGAAUCACUUGCUCCAUCUCAUACAUUGAUGAUGAUUAAUUUGUAUGUGUACCUUCCAAAAAAGAUGGUUGUGUUUGAAUGGAGGCCUUCUGGACAGGAAAAUUGCAAAGUACAAUUAACAUUUGAGUCUGUCUGAGUCAUGAAGAAAUGGAGAUUACUGAAAAUAAUUCAUUUUGGUAUCUUCUUACAUCCUGAGAGACUAAUCUUUCCAAGUUCAUCUGAGGCUCCUCUUCUCCAUGACAACCUCAUCCAGGGAUUUCUUCCUGUCCUGGUGUUUUAUGACAUGUGGAAGGGGACUGUAGCAGGUGAUCUCCAAAGUCUCUGGAGACUUACUAAUGUGCAUCCUCAUCUCGCUUGUAAGGAUAAUAGCCUUCCUCCAAACCUCACACACUUUUGGAGGAGAUCACUUUUUUUAAAGUGCAUGGAAAUGUUUUGAAACAGUGAAAUCUAUAAUGAUAGGUUUCAUAAUUCUAACAUCCACACCAUAUGAAUCACAUCCUUCCUGAGAUAAUGAGCACACAAUUGCCUGGAUACCUGAAGGAAUGGAGACAGCGGCAGAAAACACUGCAGAGAGGUGGAAACAUCCGUUAAUAUUUUAAAAUCCCAUUACUGCUACCAACAAUAAUAAUGGAUGCAUAGAAAUAGAUCUGGAUUAGCUGAGCUUGAAACAGUCCAUCUCACACACACACAAAAGAAUUUCAGAUACAGUGAACCCACAUGUUGAAGCUUUCUAGUAUAAUAAAAAUUUCAACUGUUCUGUUGAAUCAUCUGCCUGAUUGGAGGCUACAGAAAAGAUGUCAUCUUAGGAGUGCUUGCUCUGAGUGAGGCUCAUCUUCAAAUCUGAAUGACCACAAGGAGAUUUGAUUAUACAUGUGAACACCUCAGAAGGCACAGCCCACCCAGAAGGCAGACAGGUCAGGCUGCUUUUUCUUCAUUGCUUGGAUUCAAUCCUCCGGGCGGCUCAGGCUCAAACAUAACUUAAGCAUGAUUAAACUUUAGAAGAAGCUGCCAGGAAGACUGUGAAAUCUUCAUGCCCAAGGAUCCCUAAAAUUAGGAGCAACAACCACUUGGCUCAGACGGUUUAUGGAGGCAAAGGUUUGGAUGGGAUUAGAGAUUUCUAAAUGUGAGUUCGUGUCCUCUGCCAGACCACCUUACUUCCACCAUUCCUCAGCAAAUCAAGAAAAACAGGAGAAAAGACAUGCCUUUCCAUAAGUUAAAUCUAUUCUGUUUUAAUUCUAUAUUAUAUCUGCUGUACAACUUCUUUUGUUUGUAACACCAUAUUGUUGCUAGUAACUGGAAAUUAAUUUUCACAUGCCUCAGCUUAGAAAAAUAAAAAGCAGCCCUGCAUCAAUCCCAA